AAAAAAGAAUUGCGGUGAGCAGGGAAAAAAAAAAGAAUGCCCACUUUAUUUUUGGGGGUCCAAAGAUUCUAUUCUCUACUCCUCGAAUUCUCAGUCUUUCCUCAUUUUCACUCCAGAGCUGCUCCCGAUUUUUCUCAAUCCUAGAAAAUUUAAGGAACGAUCUCAAAACUUUCUCCGUCUGUAGAAAUCGUUUUGGAUUCAGGCGUACGCGAUCUAAACCUGGAGUCAGAUAUUGCUUGGAAAUCGGUGAAGUUUGAUUUGCUGGGGGGAGGACAAAAUUAGAAAGGCUGUGACAGAGGUUGGACUUGGGGCGAAACCUGUGGAACUGUCAAAGAAAAAAAAAGGAGAGCUUUCUUCUGAUGGAUUGGAUAGGAGCAUCUUAUGGAAGAAAGCUAGGGAAGAUAAAAACGGGAACAUUCCACAUGAUGCGACCAAGGAAAGAGUUGAAACAAUUGACAAGUUGACCGAACAGGUGGAAGAAGGUUCCCUGGUCACAAGUGGCAGCAAUGAUAUUCUAACACUUGCUUUAGGGACUGCUGAACAGUCUGGAAAUGUUAGAGAGAUGGGAAAGUUCGUUUCACAAGGAUCUUACUUCCAUACCGCGCGACCAAAGAUGCAGGAGGAAAGAGAGGCAAGAUUGAGAGUGGAAGCUGAACUUUGUCAAACGAAGCAAAGACUAGAUCGUGUAGAAGAACAGUUAGCUCUUGUGCUCCAAACACAGGUAAUUUUGGAGUGUGGGUUCAUGGUAAUAUUGAUGAUGACUUCAUGUGGUUUGAUAUGUUUGUACACAUAGCUCUUGCACAUAUCUUUAAGGCAAACGCGGAAUGAUAUACAUGUUUGUACACAUAGCCCUAGGAUCAAAAAAUCAUGGUUAACCCCAUCAAGGGUUUACUAAAGAUCAUAGUAUCUUUUACAGAA
Molecule: long non-coding RNA, 918 nt
Organism: Papaver somniferum (opium poppy)
Lineage: Eukaryota; Viridiplantae; Streptophyta; Magnoliopsida; Ranunculales; Papaveraceae
Exons: 5
Source: RefSeq, a predicted model, not a curated record